GAUGAACGCCGGCGGCGUGCCUAAUACAUGCAAGUCGAGCGAACGGACGAGAAGCUUGCUUCUCUGAUGUUAGCGGCGGACGGGUGAGUAACACGUGGAUAACCUACCUAUAAGACUGGGAUAACUUCGGGAAACCGGAGCUAAUACCGGAUACUAUUUUGAACCGCAUGGUUCAAAAGUGAAAGACGGUCUUGCUGUCACUUAUCGAUGGAUCCGCGCUGCAUUAGCUAGUUGGUAAGGUAACGGCUUACCAAGGCAACGAUGCAUAGCCGACCUGAGAGGGGGAACGGCCACACUGGAACUGAGACACGGUCCAGAGUCCUACGGGAGGCAGCAGUAGGGAAUCGUCCGCGAUGGGCGAAAGCCUGACGGAGCAACGCCGCGUGAGUGAUGAAGGUCUUCGGAUCGUAAAACUCUGUUAUUAGGGAAGAACAUAUGUGUAAGUAACUGUGCACAUCUUGACGGUACCGAAUCAGAAAGCCACGGCUAACUACGUG
RNAcentral lists this ribosomal RNA (497 nucleotides) under uncultured bacterium. RNAcentral's name for it is "partial 16S ribosomal RNA". It matches the Rfam family "Bacterial small subunit ribosomal RNA", at positions 28 to 507 of the family's 1533-position model. The record is from RNAcentral.